CACGUAGGGCGCGAGCGUUGUCCGGAAUUAUUGGGCGUAAAGAGCUCGUAGGCGGCCUGUUGCGUCCGCUGUGAAAGCCCGGGGCUUAACCCCGGGUCGGCAGUGGAUACGGGCAGGCUAGAGGUAGGUAGGGGAGAUCGGAAUUCCUGGUGUAGCGGUGAAAUGCGCAGAUAUCAGGAGGAACACCGGUGGCGAAGGCGGAUCUCUGGGCCGUAACUGACGCUGAGGCGCGAAAGCGUGGGGAGCAAACAGG
Molecule: ribosomal RNA, 253 nt
Filed under: uncultured bacterium
Lineage: Bacteria
Description: partial 16S ribosomal RNA
Rfam family: Bacterial small subunit ribosomal RNA
Source: RNAcentral